GGUUGCUGGUUGCUGGUUGCUGGCGUCGGCGUAGCGUCGUCGGCAUCGAAACGCAGCCGAUCACCUCUUGACCCACUGUGGGGCUGUGGUGUGUGUGUGUGGGCGCUUUUGGCGGAAACGAUAUGCGGCGGCUGCGGCUUAUGUAACGCACGACAACAACGACUGCGACAGCGACGCGUUGGCAGCGUCAAAUGCAUACGCACACGCUUCACGCUGCCCCGCUGCCGCCGCACCAGGCAUGCCUUUGGCCCUCUCCGCCGCUGCUUCCUGCACUUUGUUGCUGCUGUUGUUGUUAUUGUCGUUUAGCGGCUGUCGGCUGUCGGCUGUGCUUUUCAUAUCGCUCUCUGGCUCUGUACGUUUUGCAGGGUAUUGUGAUUUUGAUGACGUGUUUGUAGAGCACGUAGUAAAUGUCAAACAUUCGCAUCUCCAAAAGAGGGUAUCCAAAGCUUCGAUGCGCUGAAGGGAGCUUUUUUUUUGCAUGUUUUUCUAUCGCAUUUGUUUUCUCAAGUUCGCGCGGCGGCUCUUGUGCAAUUUGUCAUCAUACCCCAGCAGAGCACCCUUCACCACCCCACCCUUACUUCCUGGCACAGCCUCACCCACACGCCCUGCGUAUGCGUAAUAUUUCAAAAGAAAAGAAAAUUGCAGCAAAUUUGUCAGGCAGGCAAGAGCGUAAACAAAAACAAGCCGCCGCCAAAUGCACUUUUUGCCAUAAAUCAAGGAAGAGCCACAGCAAGAAAAGCGCAGAAGGGCAGCAGAGCAGCAGAGAAGAGAGAGGGCCUGGCAGAAGACAGACAGACAGAACGGCGCCACGCCCUCGACUGAACAAAAUGAAGACAUAAUUUGACAUAAGCGAUGUUAAAGUUCACCAAAAAGAGAAAAAACAUCAAAGUGCAAGCCUCGAAAAUAGCGAAUACAAAAGCAUAACAGCUAUAGCUUUGAGCCGAAGCUGGAAAUACCCUUUCUGGCCAGUAUGAGCGAUCGAUGAACACCUACUUUAAAUAUCCUAUGGGAAGGGUACCCAAAACAGAGAGACAGCGAGACAGCGAGAGAGAGAGAAAGGAAAAAAUAGCUUUAAGCAUUUGACUGUUAAUGAUGAGGGGGAGGAGCAGCAGCAACAUAGGGAGCGGUGGAGUUGUAAGAAAUGAUUGACUCGAACUCAAAACUUGACGACGGCUACGCGACUGUGCGACAGCGGCACCGGCAGCCUCACCGUCAGCAUCGGGACAGCGGUCGCCUCGGUCGCUUCGGUCGCCUCGGUCGGCUCGGUCGGCUCUUUUGGUGAUAAUGUCAAAGGCGGCAGCAAUCGGUCGGUCGGUCGGUCGGUCGGGCACUGCGCGCUCGUCUCUCGCCCCCCGCCGCAUGCUUAAUCAUGCGCGGAGCUGCAGGAAAAAAAAUCGAAAUGCAGCAGCAAAAGCAGCGCCUGUCAAAGCUGCGAUUAAUCUCACUCACAGAUGCUAGAGCGAGAAAUAGAGAGAGAGCAGAGGAGAGGAGAGUCACUCUCUUCAUAGCCGGCAGAAGAAGGAGAACAGUGCGCACAAUACCACAAGGGCGCUUAGAAUGGACAAAAUUCUGUAUAGACGAUUCAUUUCUUUCCGAGAUUCAACUGGGACUCAAUUUCAACGAAAAUUUAUAGAACAACCAGAAAAUAUUUAAGAAAAAUCUAUUUUCAAGAAAUUAUUACUAAAAUCAAGCUUUAUUUUUAUGGAUAUAUCUAUAUUUAAUCACGAAAAUGAUUGAAGGCUGUAAAGCCAGUACCCAAAUGCCAGAAUAUUUAAAGAUUUAAAGGAAAAUGUUUAAAAUAUACAAAAAAAAACUAUACUUG
Molecule: long non-coding RNA, 1822 nt
Organism: Drosophila pseudoobscura
Lineage: Eukaryota; Metazoa; Arthropoda; Insecta; Diptera; Drosophilidae
Exons: 3
Source: RefSeq, a predicted model, not a curated record